UACGAAGGGGGCUAGCGUUGCUCGGAAUCACUGGGCGUAAAGGGUGCGUAGGCGGGUCUUUAAGUCAGGGGUGAAAUCCUGGAGCUCAACUCCAGAACUGCCUUUGAUACUGAAGAUCUUGAGUUCGGGAGAGUGAGUGGAACUGCGAGUGUAGAGGUGAAAUUCGUAGAUAUUCGCAAGAACACCAGUGGCGAAGGCGGCUCACUGGCCCGAUACUGACGCUGAUGCACGAAAGCGUGGGGAGCAAACAGG
This 252-nucleotide ribosomal RNA is filed under the name uncultured bacterium. Its description in RNAcentral is "partial 16S ribosomal RNA". It matches the Rfam family "Bacterial small subunit ribosomal RNA", at positions 524 to 776 of the family's 1533-position model. The record is from RNAcentral.